CUUAGUGGCGGACGGGUGAGUAACGCGUGGGGAACCUGCCCUGUACAGGGGGAUAACACUUAGAAAUAGGUGCUAAUACCGCAUAAGCGCACAGUAUCGCAUGAUACAGUGUGAAAAACUCCGGUGGUACAGGAUGGACCCGCGUCUGAUUAGCUGGUUGGCGGGGUAACGGCCCACCAAGGCGACGAUGCGUAGGGGUUCUGAGAGGAAGGUCCCCCACACUGGUACUGAGACACGGACCAGACUCCUACGGAAGGCAGCAG
RNAcentral lists this ribosomal RNA (263 nucleotides) under uncultured bacterium. Its description in RNAcentral is "partial 16S ribosomal RNA". It matches the Rfam family "Bacterial small subunit ribosomal RNA", at positions 91 to 354 of the family's 1533-position model. The record is from RNAcentral.